Molecule: ribosomal RNA, 374 nt
Filed under: Macellicephala brenesorum
Lineage: Eukaryota; Metazoa; Annelida; Polychaeta; Phyllodocida; Polynoidae
Description: partial 16S ribosomal RNA
Rfam family: Bacterial large subunit ribosomal RNA
Source: RNAcentral
GCGGUAUCCUGACCGUGCUAAGGUAGCAUAAUCAUUUGCCUUCUAAUUAAAGGAUAGUAUGAAAGGACAAACGAAAUUUUAACUGUAUUAUAUUUACUCCUAUAAAUUACAAUUCAGGUGAAGAUGCCUGAUUCCAAUUGAAAGACAAGAAGACCCUAUAGAAUUUUAGUAAAGACUUAUCCCUUUUAUCCCCCUUACUUUUGUUGGGGCGACCAAAGAUUACAAAAAACAUCUUUAUAAAUUUAAAAUUUUCAUUUCUUCUUAUGAUCCUAAUAAUAGAUUAACAAAAUAAAUUACCUUAGGGAUAACAGGCUAAUCUUCCCUCAGAGUUCAUAUCGACGGGAAGGUUUGGCACCUCGAUGUUGGCUUAGGAA